AAGUCGUAACAAGGUAACCGUAGGUGAACCUGCGGUUGGAUCAUUACCAAUUCUUUCUUUUUUCGCGGAAGACUUUGUACUCUUAACUUGGGGUCUCAAAAUCGACAUCCUUUGGGAGGUUCGAGAUUGAAUGCACUGAGGAGGGAGGAAGAGUCUUUGCGAAGGAAGUGGAAACCAACUUGUGAACCUGUAAUUGUGCAUUGGCGGCUGUUCAGUGCCUUGUGCUGAACAUGCAUUCAGUUGCGAAGGCCGUCAAUUUACCAUUUCCCUUCAAUCUUUUAUUUUUUUUUACCAUUUGUGACUUUUCUUGCCUUCUUUAUUCUUUCUCUGAAAUGGAAAAGAAACCAAGAACAACUAUUAACAAUGGAUCUCUUGGCUCUC
RNAcentral lists this unclassified non-coding RNA (381 nucleotides) under fungal sp. RNAcentral describes it as "partial internal transcribed spacer region". The stretch from base 1 to 46 matches the Rfam family "Eukaryotic small subunit ribosomal RNA", at positions 1786 to 1831 of the family's 1831-position model. The record is from RNAcentral. Lineage: Eukaryota; Fungi.